RNAcentral lists this ribosomal RNA (465 nucleotides) under Vreelandella stevensii. Its description in RNAcentral is "partial 16S ribosomal RNA". It matches the Rfam family "Bacterial small subunit ribosomal RNA", at positions 338 to 795 of the family's 1533-position model. The record is from RNAcentral. Lineage: Bacteria; Pseudomonadati; Pseudomonadota; Gammaproteobacteria; Oceanospirillales; Halomonadaceae.
CCUACGGGGUGCAGCAGUGGGGAAUAUUGGACAAUGGGCGAAAGCCUGAUCCAGCCAUGCCGCGUGUGUGAAGAAGGCCUUCGGGUUGUAAAGCACUUUCAGUGGGGAAGAAAGCCUUGGGGCUAAUACCCUCGAGGAAGGACAUCACCCACAGAAGAAGCACCGGCUAACUCCGGGCCAGCAGCCGCGGUAAUACGGAGGGUGCGAGCGUUAAUCGGAAUUACUGGGCGUAAAGCGCGCGUAGGCGGUCUGAUAAGCCGGUUGGGAAAGCCCCGGGCUCAACCUGGGAACGGCAUCCGGAACUGUCAGGCUAGAGUGCAGGAGAGGAAGGUAGAAUUCCCGGUGUAGCGGUGAAAUGCGUAGAGAUCGGGAGGAAUACCAGUGGCGAAGGCGGCCUUCUGGACUGACACUGACGCUGAGGUGCGAAAGCGUGGGUAGCAAACAGGAUUAGAUACCCGAGUAGUC